Molecule: ribosomal RNA, 624 nt
Filed under: uncultured bacterium
Lineage: Bacteria
Description: bacterial SSU rRNA
Rfam family: Bacterial small subunit ribosomal RNA
Source: RNAcentral
CGCCCGCCGCGCGCGGCGGGCGGGGCGGGGGCACGGGGGGCGUACGGGAGGCAGCAGUGGGGAAUUUUGGACAAUGGGCGCAAGCCUGAUCCAGCAAUGCCGCGUGCAGGAUGAAGGCCUUCGGGUUGUAAACUGCUUUUGUACGGAACGAAAAGGCGCCCUAAUACGGCGGGCUCAUGACGGUACCGUAAGAAUAAGCACCGGCUAACUACGUGCCAGCAGCCGCGGUAAUACGUAGGGUGCGAGCGUUAAUCGGAAUUACUGGGCGUAAAGCGUGCGCAGGCGGUGAUGUAAGACAGAUGUGAAAUCCCCGGGCUCAACCUGGGACCUGCAUUUGUGACUGCAUCGCUAGAGUACGGUAGAGGGGGAUGGAAUUCCGCGUGUAGCAGUGAAAUGCGUAGAUAUGCGGAGGAACACCGAUGGCGAAGGCAAUCCCCUGGACCUGUACUGACGCUCAUGCACGAAAGCGUGGGGAGCAAACAGGAUUAGAUACCCUGGUAGUCCACGCCCUAAACGAUGUCAACUGGUUGUUGGGUCUUUCUGACUCAGUAACGAAGCUAACGCGUGAAGUUGACCGCCUGGGGAGUACGGCCGCAAGGUUGAAACUCGAAGGAAUUGACGGGG